Non-coding RNA from Lupinus angustifolius (narrow-leaved blue lupine), 116 nucleotides. NCBI's taxonomy places the organism in Eukaryota, Viridiplantae, Streptophyta, Magnoliopsida, Fabales, Fabaceae. The record is from Rfam.
AGGUGCGAUCAUACCAGCACUAAUCAAUCGGAUCCCAUCAGAACUCCGCAGUGAAGCGUACUUGGUUCCAGUAUUCAGCAUGCGAUGAAAGAAGUGUGGAAACAAAGUUUCAUGCA